RNAcentral lists this transfer RNA (72 nucleotides) under Aedes aegypti (yellow fever mosquito). It matches the Rfam family "tRNA". Rfam says of the family: Transfer RNA (tRNA) molecules are approximately 80 nucleotides in length. Their secondary structure includes four short double-helical elements and three loops (D, anti-codon, and T loops). Lineage: Eukaryota; Metazoa; Arthropoda; Insecta; Diptera; Culicidae. The record is from Rfam by way of RNAcentral.
AGCUCGGUAGCUUAGUUGAUAAAUUACUCGUCUAGCAUACAAGAGUUGUGAGUUUGAAUCCCACCUGAGCAA